RNAcentral lists this ribosomal RNA (595 nucleotides) under uncultured marine eukaryote. RNAcentral describes it as "SSU rRNA". It matches the Rfam family "Eukaryotic small subunit ribosomal RNA", at positions 1 to 598 of the family's 1831-position model. The record is from RNAcentral.
AACCUGGUUGAUGCCGUGCCAGUAGUCAUAUGCUUGUCUCAAAGAUUAAGCCAUGCAUGUCUCAGUAUGAGUUUUAACACAACGAAACUGCGAAUGGCUCAUUAAAACAGUUAUAGUUUACUUGAUAGUCGAUCGUUAUACGGAUAACUGCGGUAAUUCUGGAGCUAAUACGUGCACAAAGACCUGACUUCAAGGAAAGGUCGUGUUUAUUAGAUACAGAACCAAUCCACUUCGGUGGUUUUUGGAUGAUUCAUAAUAAAGGAACGGAGCGCAUGACUUGUGUCGGCGCUGUUUCAUUCAAGUUUCUGACCUAUCAGCUUCCGACGGUAGGGUAUUGGCCUACCGUGGCAUUGACGGGUAACGGAGAAUUAGGGUUCGAUUCCGGAGAGGGAGCCUUAAAAACGGCUACCACAUCUAAGGAAGGCAGCAGGCGCGCAAAUUACCAAUCCUGAUACAGGGAGGUAGUGACAAGAAAUAACACAGAGAGUGCACACUGCAUUUCUCUUUGGAAUGAGUAGAAUUUAAAUCUCUUUUCGACUAUCAAUUGGAGGGCAAGUCUGGUGCCAGCAGCCGCGGUAAUUCCAGCUCCAAUAGC